Rattus norvegicus (Norway rat) is the source of this 534-nucleotide non-coding RNA. The record is from the annotation of a RefSeq genome assembly. NCBI's taxonomy places the organism in Eukaryota, Metazoa, Chordata, Mammalia, Rodentia, Muridae.
CUCUAAGUUAAAUACCUUUCUGGACUGGGCUACCUUACAUAUCUCUCACUGGAGGCUGAUCUCUGAAGCAAAGAGGGUGUAGCCUAAAAGAUGAGAACGUUGGGUCUUCUGUACCUGUUGACAGCCCUUCCUGGUAUCCUGUCUGAGGUGCAGCUUCAGGAGUCAGGACCUGGCCUUGUGAAACCCUCACAGUCACUCUCCCUCACCUGUUCUGUCACUGGUUACUCCAUCACUAGUAAUUACUGGGGCUGGAUCCGGAAGUUCCCAGGAAAUAAAAUGGAGUGGAUUGGACACAUAAGCUACAGUGGUAGCACUAGCUACAACCCAUCUCUCAAAAGUCGAAUCUCCAUUACUAGAGACACAUCGAAGAAUCAGUUCUUCCUGCAGUUGAACUCUGUAACUACUGAGGACACAGCCACAUAUUACUGUGCAAGAUACACAGUGUGGAGUCUUCAGUGUAAGGCCAGACAUAAACCUCCUUGUAGAGCAACUAUGAACCAACAGGGGUCACACAACACACACCAAGCAUUGUAA